Molecule: transfer RNA, 66 nt
Filed under: Amazonina sp. Z256E
Lineage: Eukaryota; Metazoa; Arthropoda; Insecta; Blattodea; Pseudophyllodromiidae
Description: tRNA-His
Source: RNAcentral
AUUUAUAUAGUUUAAUAAAAAUAUUGAUUUGUGGAGUCAAAGUUAUAUAUAUAUAUAUUAUAAAUU